GCUUGCACUGGUACUCGAGUGGCGAACGGGUGAGUAACACGUGGGUGAUCUGCCCUGCACUUCGGGAUAAGCCUGGGAAACUGGGUCUAAUACCGGAUAGGACCACAUUUUGGAUGGUGUGGUGGAAAGUUUUUCGGUGUGGGAUGAGCUCGCGGCCUAUCAGCUUGUUGGUGGGGUAAUGGCCUACCAAGGCGUCGACGGGUAGCCGGCCUGAGAGGGUGUACGGCCACAUUGGGACUGAGAUACGGCCCAGACUCCUACGGGAGGCAGCAGUGGGGAAUAUUGCACAAUGGGCGCAAGCCUGAUGCAGCGACGCCGCGUGGGGGAUGACGGCCUUCGGGUUGUAAACUCCUUUCGCUAGGGACGAAGCGCAAGUGACGGUACCUGGAGAAGAAGCACCGGCUAACUACGUGCCAGCAGCCGCGGUAAUACGUAGGGUGCGAGCGUUGUCCGGAAUUACUGGGCGUAAAGAGCUCGUAGGUGGUUUGUCGCGUCGUUUGUGUAAGCCCGCAGCUUAACUGCGGGACUGCAGGCGAUACGGGCAUAACUUGAGUGCUGUAGGGGAGACUGGAAUUCCUGGUGUAGCGGUGGAAUGCGCAGAUAUCAGGAGGAACACCGAUGGCGAAGGCAG
This 631-nucleotide ribosomal RNA is filed under the name uncultured Actinomycetes bacterium. RNAcentral describes it as "bacterial SSU rRNA". It matches the Rfam family "Bacterial small subunit ribosomal RNA", at positions 78 to 724 of the family's 1533-position model. The record is from RNAcentral. Lineage: Bacteria; Bacillati; Actinomycetota; Actinomycetes.